AGUGAACGCUGGCGGCAGGCCUAACACAUGCAAGUCGAACGGCAGCACAGUAAGAGCUUGCUCUUACGGGUGGCGAGUGGCGGACGGGUGAGGAAUACAUCGGAAUCUACUUUUUCGUGGGGGAUAACGUAGGGAAACUUACGCUAGUACCGCAUACGACCUACGGGUGAAAGCAGGGGAUCUUCGGACCUUGCGCGAUUGAAUGAGCCGAUGUCGGAUUAGCUAGUUGGCGGGGUAAAGGCCCACCAAGGCGACGAUCCGUAGCUGGUCUGAGAGGAUGAUCAGCCACACUGGAACUGAGACACGGUCCAGACUCCUACGGGAGGCAGCAGUGGGGAAUAUUGGACAAUGGGCGCAAGCCUGAUCCAGCCAUACCGCGUGGGUGAAGAAGGCCUUCGGGUUGUAAAGCCCUUUUGUUGGGAAAGAAAAGCAGCAGGUUAAUACCCCGCUGUUCUGACGGUACCCAAAGAAUAAGCACCGGCUAACUUCGUG
Molecule: ribosomal RNA, 492 nt
Filed under: uncultured bacterium
Lineage: Bacteria
Description: partial 16S ribosomal RNA
Rfam family: Bacterial small subunit ribosomal RNA
Source: RNAcentral